Molecule: non-coding RNA, 158 nt
Organism: Populus trichocarpa (black cottonwood)
Lineage: Eukaryota; Viridiplantae; Streptophyta; Magnoliopsida; Malpighiales; Salicaceae
Source: Rfam
CAUGGAGGGAUCAAGUACAGGGAUGAACACUGAAUAGUGUCUGGGCUGCAAGACAGAUUUCAACUUCUCUAUUGUUGCUACAAUUUGAAUUUGAAAACGGUCCUUUUGAAUCUUGGACUCUUCAUGAAAGUUUUAUGCCUAUGUCUUAGCUUUCCAUA